AGGGCUGUAGCUCAGGGGUAGAACUUCUGCUUAGUAUGCAGAAACAUCCCAGAUUCAAUCCCAGCAGCUCCA
Molecule: non-coding RNA, 72 nt
Organism: Podarcis lilfordi (Lilford's wall lizard)
Lineage: Eukaryota; Metazoa; Chordata; Lepidosauria; Squamata; Lacertidae
Source: the annotation of a GenBank genome assembly